UGUCUUCCUUGAACAUGGGUGAAGCACAUUUUUUGUAUAUACUCCCAAAAAUAUCAUUGGUGUAUUACUCAAAAGGAGAUGGUUCAUAAGGUGGUUAUGACAAUGAAGACAAGGUUGCCAUGGCUUAUGAUCUGGCUGCUCCGAAAUAUUGGGGGCCAUCGACGCACACCAAUUUCCCGAUUAGUGGAAAAUUAUCGAGAGGUGGAGGAGAUGUAAAGCAUGACAAGGCAGGAAUUCGUUGCACACUUGAGAAGUGAUCUCCUGGAGUUAGUUUCAGCAGAGAGAGGAGAUGAACCUGGGCAGCAGCCGAGCCUCAACUUGGGCGCGGGCGAGGA
Molecule: long non-coding RNA, 335 nt
Organism: Triticum dicoccoides
Lineage: Eukaryota; Viridiplantae; Streptophyta; Magnoliopsida; Poales; Poaceae
Exons: 4
Source: RefSeq, a predicted model, not a curated record